UACGGAGGUGGCAAGCGUUACUCGGAUUUAUUGGGUGUAAAGGGCAGGUAGGUGGCUCAACAAGUGGGAAGUGAAAUCCUCCGGCUUAAUCGGAGAACGGCUUUCCAAACUAUUGAGCUUGAGUGUGGGAGAGGAGAAUGGAACUCCUGGUGUAAGGGUGAAAUCUGUAGAGAUCAGGAGGAACACCAUUGGCGAAGGCGAUUCUCUGGACCACAACUGACACUGAACUGCGAAAGCUAGGGGAG
RNAcentral lists this ribosomal RNA (245 nucleotides) under uncultured bacterium. RNAcentral's name for it is "partial 16S ribosomal RNA". It matches the Rfam family "Bacterial small subunit ribosomal RNA", at positions 524 to 768 of the family's 1533-position model. The record is from RNAcentral.